RNAcentral lists this transfer RNA (68 nucleotides) under Drepanotermes gayi. Its description in RNAcentral is "tRNA-Trp". It matches the Rfam family "tRNA". Rfam says of the family: Transfer RNA (tRNA) molecules are approximately 80 nucleotides in length. Their secondary structure includes four short double-helical elements and three loops (D, anti-codon, and T loops). The record is from RNAcentral. Lineage: Eukaryota; Metazoa; Arthropoda; Insecta; Blattodea; Termitidae.
AAGGCCUUAAGUUAAAAGUAAACUAAUAACCUUCAAAGCUAUAAAUAAAGGGCCUCCUUUAGGCCUUG